CCGACGUGUUGAAGCACGGGUCGUCGUAGAAGUCAUCGGCGGCUGUGAAGGAGCAGAGGGAGCCCUCCGUCAUCUCCAUGGGGCCAACCCGCCCUGCCGCCGCGCCAGGGAGAGCAGCCGCCCCGAUGCCCGAAGGUGCCGGGUGCCGCUCGCCCGGGGGGACGCACCGAACACACCGGUGACGGCUCCGCUGGUUCCUCACAGGGAAAAAGCCCCCAACCCCUGGGCAGCUCUGCUCGCCUUCGCUCGGAAGCCUUGGGAGAGAUGGAUCUCAGGCCGUGCCGUGGCGUUGCAGUUGGGACGGCUCGCGAGAUAAGGAUUAUAUUAUAGCAGCGGGAGAGUUUGGAGCUUGGGGAAAUGGCAUCCCGUUUUGUUAUAAAUGUUGGCGAAAUUUCAGCUCAUUCAAAAUCAGCAGCAAAGCUCUGUUUUCAGUGGGACAAGGGGCUGACUGACAGAAUCGCAAAAGGAUGUGAUUGAAAAGGAAGCCGGGAAGGCAGAAGUAGAUUGUACUUCCUACAUUGAAAAACACGGAUAGAUUCAUCCUGUACACAACUGACAGAGGCUGGGGAAACAGCUGAUUUUGAGUUUAUCUGGAAUUAACAGAAUUGUCUUUAGAGGCAAAGGCCCAGAACGUGUUCUGGCAAAGGAAAAGGGAGAGAAAAAGACUUAAAUCCUCAGAGUAUGUGGAUAUAUUUGGUUAGAAGAUGAGAACAUGAGAAGUCUGAGAAACAGACAUGGCACUACUUCAUGGAAAAAUAAGAGGCAACUUAACUGCUAUGAUGGACCAAAGAAGAGCGUUCUGUAUUAACGAAUUUGGUAAAGGAGAAUCAGCCUCUUGGUCUUAAAUAAGAGCUUGAUGCAGGAAGAACUUAGAAAUAUUUGGUAGAGCCACAUGUGACUGAUCAAAAUAUUCACCCUAAGCACACAAAACAAGACUGUUAAGAUUUGCCAGAUAUGGGACUCACCUGCAGCAGAAUGUGGCUUAACAGAACUUGGGAGACCCUUCCAAUGGAAGAUGUUUUGUUCACAAAGCACGAUCACUUUGGAGACCUUUAUGCAAUUUCUGCAAUAAAUGAACACAGCCAAGAUUGUAUUUUAUAAGCAGUUCCUCGGUGCAAGUAUGCAGCACAACUUCAAGUGGAGUUCAAGUUAACACAUCUGCUUAACUGUUAAGGCUUAACAUGUUUUACUGCAUACUUAAAUUUUCAUUGAACUUAUACGUGAUACCAAACUCAAAUGAAAGAUCUUGGGAAUAUACUGAAUAUAUUUUGUGUUGCUUCCCUGUGGAUGCUUGCCAUCAGAAGCUCUUUCCCACUGCUGCACAGCCACAGUGCUCAGGCAGACUCAUCCUCUCCCUUUCCUCUACUCUCCCUUCUCUGGACCCUGAGGAAAUCUCUGUGCUAACAGGAGGUUUGGGAUCUGUGUGUAGGUCUGCAGUCAAGCCUGGAAGAUAAUGGGAUUGCCCUUGUUGCUGUCACUGCGGACUCAUGAUCUGGACCCCAGGACUUGAGCAGGACUGAAGGACAUAUGGUAAGAUUGUGUUACCUGUGCACAGGAGGAUGGUGAAAUCUGGGAUAUUAGCUUGUGACUUUCAGCUGUCUGGUCUGAAGCAAAGGAGAGCAAGUGGUAAGAAGCUGGAUCAUCUUUCUUCAUCUGCUCACUGCCUUCACAGAAUUUGCAAGUGUGACGAACUAUUUCAUCCCUUUACAGGAUUAGGGAUGCGGAUUUGCUUCUCACCGAGGUGCUGCUGGCUGGUUCACUGCCUGCUGGAGGGUGUCUCUAAGACCUGAUUUAACCUGAAGCAUGCACUUCCUCAGGAGGUCUGCAGCAGGGCUGGAGGACUGCAAACACUGCAUCACUACCCUCCUGUCCCCUGCUGCCACACGACUGCUGUGCCUGUGCUGUGCUCUCAGCUGCCUCACCCUGAAAUGUUCCUCAUGAUGGUUUGUAUGGAGCUACCAUGGAGCAGGCUUUGCUUUUGGUGGCAGUAUCCCUUACCAUGUCAUUCAUAAAGAAGAUGGCUUUAUCCUCACCUUUAUUCCACUGGGACCAUCUGCUCUACACACAGGCUCCAAAAGUGGAAAAUCUUCUGUGACCUUUUUUAAUUUUCAGUUGAAGCUCUACAUCACAUGAACUUCUUGGGGUUUUUUGAGAGGUAAAGACUUUUUUUUUUUUUUACAACACCAAAUAAAAAACCAAACACCACAGCCCAAGGAACCCAAAACUGAUAGGAAAAAAACCUGAAACCCACACAUUGAACGCAAGCUGGAGAAAUAACUGCAUUGUGUGACUGAUACAGUCCAUGGGAGUACAAAGCAUUCCAGUCUGAUUUUGCACAUCCACUCCCUAUACCUAUUAAUAACUUUUAGGCAUGGGCAUAGACAUGAAGAUGGGCAAGAGUAGUUUGCCAUGCAAACAUUUAUCUGGGAGCUGUACUAUUUUCUAGAGCUAAAGAUUUCAGUGUGAUAAAGUGGACAUUUUAAAGCAUUGGUGGAGAUAGGGGGGAUGUAACUGCCCUUAAACUGAGGUUGGAUUAGGUGUUCUCACAUCUUGGAGUCUGCCAGUAAAUAGCAAAGUAUAUGAGCAAUGGAAAUAUGUCCUUCUUAAUCUGUAAAAAGAAAAGGACUGUUUUGAAAAUCCAUCAAUCUUUCAAAUCGUCUUAAGGCAUAUUGAUCCUGAAUAAGCACAGGGGAAUUCGUCAGGGGUGUUCUUUUUAGUGAUCUAAAAGUAUAACUGUGGUUGAAUACAUCAAAAACUGUAUCUUAUUCCAGUUGUCUUUAUUACUGCAAUAAAUGAUACCAACUCUUUCUUCCUGCA
Taeniopygia guttata (zebra finch) is the source of this 2817-nucleotide non-coding RNA. NCBI's taxonomy places the organism in Eukaryota, Metazoa, Chordata, Aves, Passeriformes, Estrildidae. The record is from RefSeq and is a predicted model, not a curated record.